UUGAAAGUUGGAUUUUUUCAU
RNAcentral lists this non-coding RNA (21 nucleotides) under Caenorhabditis elegans. Lineage: Eukaryota; Metazoa; Nematoda; Chromadorea; Rhabditida; Rhabditidae. The record is from RNAcentral.